AUCUACCCCCAAUCAAUUGUGAGGUCAGACCAGGAAGACAGAGGCCAAACCCAGCAUCACACUUUGACCUGCCCGGGAACACAGUGGCUCCUGGGAAAUAACCACUAAAGUCUUGAAAUGUCUUGAGUGAUUGGAGGACCUUUAUUUUUCACGCCUGAUGCCUUAUGCUGAUGAGAUGACUCAGCAGGGGAUGGCCAGGCCAGAAAGACCAAAACUGUAUCCUGAGGUUUGAGUUUCUGAGCCAGGUGAUGUCAUCCUCCAGCUUGGCCGGCCUCUUUCUGGGAGCCUCUGGUGUGAAAGAGAGCAGAUUUAUUAAAAAUCAUCAACUUCAAAUUAUUUGGAUGGAAACAUUGCCAAAUCAUAGAGAUGUUUGCUACCACCCGCACACCAAGCAGCUGGGUAACUAGAAGUGCAGGAUCAGCUUAUUCACCUCCGAAAGCCUGCAUGCAACCACUGAGGCCGCCUCUAUUUUUUACAUAGUUCUACUUGGUGUAUGUAACCCCACAGAGAAACCUGGAAGAAUGCAUGAAACCUAGUAAGGCAACCAGCACAUGCAACAGAAUGAACCGUUUCUUUCCAUCUGAAUGCCUAAAUGUGGACUCUGAUCCUUUCUACCAAGUCCUAAGUUUGGGAAAAGAGGACAAGGACAGGGGCUCUGUCCCAUAUCAUAAUGUGCUUGUGAAUGGCUAAAAUUACAAUGCUGAGAUAAGUGUGUGUAAUAAAAUAAUUGCACCCCGAAUUGAAGAA
RNAcentral lists this long non-coding RNA (747 nucleotides) under Homo sapiens (human). RNAcentral's name for it is "HSALNT0371572". The record is from RNAcentral. Lineage: Eukaryota; Metazoa; Chordata; Mammalia; Primates; Hominidae.